Molecule: ribosomal RNA, 660 nt
Filed under: Lactiplantibacillus plantarum
Lineage: Bacteria; Bacillati; Bacillota; Bacilli; Lactobacillales; Lactobacillaceae
Description: bacterial SSU rRNA
Rfam family: Bacterial small subunit ribosomal RNA
Source: RNAcentral
AUGGCUCAGGACGAACGCUGGGCGGCGUGCUUAAUACAUGCAAGUCGAACGAACUUUGGUAUUGAUUGGUGCUUGCAUCAUGAUUUACAUUUGAGUGAGUGGCGAACUGGUGAGUAACACGUGGGAAACCUGCCCAGAAGCGGGGGAUAACACCUGGAAACAGAUGCUAAUACCGCAUAACAACUUGGACCGCAUGGUCCGAGUUUGAAAGAUGGCUUCGGCUAUCACUUUUGGAUGGUCCCGCGGCGUAUUAGCUAGAUGGUGAGGUAACGGCUCACCAUGGCAAUGAUACGUAGCCGACCUGAGAGGGUAAUCGGCCACAUUGGGACUGAGACACGGCCCAAACUCCUACGGGAGGCAGCAGUAGGGAAUCUUCCACAAUGGACGAAAGUCUGAUGGAGCAACGCCGCGUGAGUGAAGAAGGGUUUCGGCUCGUAAAACUCUGUUGUUAAAGAAGAACAUAUCUGAGAGUAACUGUUCAGGUAUUGACGGUAUUUAACCAGAAAGCCACGGCUAACUACGUGCCAGCAGCCGCGGUAAUACGUAGGUGGCAAGCGUUGUCCGGAUUUAUUGGGCGUAAAGCGAGCGCAGGCGGUUUUUUAAGUCUGAUGUGAAAGCCUUCGGCUCAACCGAAGAAGUGCAUCGGAAACUGGGAAACUU